AGCAGCCGCGGUAAUUCCAGCUCCAAUAGCGUAUAUUAAAGUUGUUGCAGUUAAAAAGCUCGUAGUUGAAUUUCGGGGUUAGUAGGUUGGUCAUGCCUCUGGUAUGUACUGGUCUCACUGAUUCCUCCUUCCUGAUGAACCUUAAUGCCAUUAAUUUGGUGUUUUGGGGAAUUUGGACUAUUACUUUGAAAAAAUUAGAGUGUUUAAAGCAAGCUAACGCUUGAAUACAUUAGCAUGGAAUAAUGAAAUAGGACGUUCGAUCCUAUUUUGUUGGUUUCUAGGAUUGACGUAAUGAUUAAUAGGGAUAGUUGGGGGCAUUAGUAUUCAAUUGUCAGAGGUGAAAUUCUUGGAUUUAUUGAAGACUAACUACUGCGAAAGCAUUUGCCAAGGAUGUUUUCAUUAAUCAAGAACGAAAGUUAGGGGAUCGAAGACGAUCAGAUACCGUCGUAGUCUUAACCAUAAACUAUGCCGACUAGGGAUCGGAUGAUGUUAAUUUUUUAAUGACUCAUUCGGCGCCUUA
RNAcentral lists this unclassified non-coding RNA (520 nucleotides) under uncultured Glomus. RNAcentral describes it as "SSU rRNA". It matches the Rfam family "Eukaryotic small subunit ribosomal RNA", at positions 569 to 1090 of the family's 1831-position model. Lineage: Eukaryota; Fungi; Glomeromycota; Glomeromycetes; Glomerales; Glomeraceae. The record is from RNAcentral.